This 489-nucleotide ribosomal RNA is filed under the name uncultured bacterium. Its description in RNAcentral is "bacterial SSU rRNA". It matches the Rfam family "Bacterial small subunit ribosomal RNA", at positions 15 to 507 of the family's 1533-position model. The record is from RNAcentral.
GAUCAUGGCUCAGGAUGAACGCUAGCGGGAGGCCUAACACAUGCAAGCCGAGCGGUAGAGAUUCUUCGGAAUCUUGAGAGCGGCGUACGGGUGCGGAACACGUGUGCAACCUACCUUUAUCUGGAGGAUAGCCUUUCGAAAGGAAGAUUAAUACUCCAUAAUAUAUUUGAUGGCAUCAUUAAAUAUUGAAAGCUCCGGCGGAUAGAGAUGGGCACGCGCAAGAUUAGCUAGUUGGUGAGGUAACGGCUCACCAAGGCAAUGAUCUUUAGGGGCCUGAGAGGGUGAUCCCCACACUGGUACUGAGACACGGACCAGACUCCUACGGGAGGCAGCAGUGAGGAAUAUUGGUCAAUGGGUGCAAGCCUGAACCAGCCAUCCCGCGUGAAGGACGACUGCCUAUGGGUUGUAAACUUCUUUUGUAUAGGGAUAAACCUACUCUCGUGAGAGUAGCUGAAGGUACUAUACGAAUAAGCACCGGCUAACUCCGUG